GAAAGAAAAACGGCUUUCGAAAGAUGUACCCGCAAGCAGCCUCGUCGCCGGCUGGGUGGAAGCGGCCCAGAAGGCAGCGGCGCCACGUGGAGGGAAGACGGCGCUCAGAGUCGGGUGCCAGGAUGAAUUGCUACAAGACCUAUAACUUGCGUUCAUGGCACAUACAAGAUUAUUCGUCAGUGAUGGAAAGCGGCUUUGGAUAAUUUGACCGAUUUCCUAGAACUGGCGCACAGGAAGACCAAUACAAUGAGUGGUUCAAGCCCAGCCACAGUCCGAGGCUGGAAAGAGGGUCCUUGUAGAAUACUUGACCUGCCUCUUAAAUUCCAUUGGGAGAUGGGACCAUCAUCCUAACCCAUGGAAGCAAGAGGAGUGUGAUGUAAAACGGAUUAUGCUGCAACGGGGCUGAAAGAAAAUCCACACAUGGACACCUGCUAUGGACACCCAGAAUGUGGAUAAUAGGUUCAAACAUGGGUAAAAAAAACUGAUGGAAGGCCUCUUAAAAAUCCAAGUGCCGUUUCUCUUAAUGCAUUGACAGUUGGCACAAAGAGCAGAACGUGGAAUAAGUCUACCAGGGUUUGAAAAGGUAUCUUGCCUUAUGAAAAGUACUUCUUAAAAAAAAAAAAUCUUGGUUUAAUAUUUUCCUGUAAGCUUAUUAUAAGGUAAUAAACACAUGACUGACCAUAA
Penaeus vannamei (Pacific white shrimp) is the source of this 684-nucleotide long non-coding RNA. RefSeq lists it as uncharacterized. NCBI's taxonomy places the organism in Eukaryota, Metazoa, Arthropoda, Malacostraca, Decapoda, Penaeidae. The record is from RefSeq and is a predicted model, not a curated record.